GAUGAGUCCUAGGAGUGAGGUUUUUGGUUCUCAAUCUGGAUAUCUUGAUAGUCUUUGCUUGAACCAUACUUUGUGUCAAUUUGCAUGAAGCUCACAAAAGUUCAAUGAUGAGUUAGGAUCCACAGUCUUCGUAUGGAAUAUUGUCAACCAAAAAUAAUUUUCUCUAUAGAAAAAGGGAUUAGUACUCCUCUUUCCCUUUAUGAUUGCACCAUGAAUAAAUUUAGAGGUAUUUUUGUUAGAGUGUUGGUUGAUAAUGAUAUGCUAUAUGCUUUGCCUAAUCAAAUUUUGGUGGAAAGACCUGAUUUUGUUUUUAUUGCAAAUAUUCAAUUUGAGAAGUUACCUACAUUUUUCUCUUCAUGUAAAAGGAUAGGGUUUGAUAUUUCUAAAUGUAGACGACAUUCUGAUAACCUCAAUAACACAAUCAAACUGUCAACUAUUUUAUCCAAACUUGUUUUAGAGUAUAAAUUUGUGACUAUCCAAACCAAAGAAACUAAUGAUGUCACUCACAAGGAAGUGGUUGGUGUCAUAGAGAAAUAGAAUUCUGCGAUAGAGAUAUAAAUAUAUGAUGUACUUGUUCGUAAGGCAGGGGUGGUGGAAGUUGAGGGAGUUGCUAUUGAUUUUGAUACCCUUAGUUGAAGUUGUUGUUGGACAAGUGGAGAUUGUAUCUCUUAUUGGUCAAAAGUUUAAGAAAUUUGCAGAAGAAUUAUUUGUUGAUGAUAAUGUUUAUGUUGUUGCAGUUAUUGAUAUAAGGGUUGGUUCACAAUAUCAUAAUGAUAUUUUUGUUGAUAUGCCCUCUUUGGAGAAUGUCCAUGAACCAAAUGAUUUGCUACAAAAAGAAGACUCCUUGCCUUAUGAAAGUUUAGGUCUUUUUAAGGAUUCUCUCAUCUCAAAUCUCAAAUCUGCAACUAAUGCAACAAAGUUCUAAAUUUGUUGUUGGAAAACGAGUUACAUCUAAAUCUAUUUCUCAAGAUUUGGCCUUAAAAAAUUGUUUUGAAUCUCUUUCAGGUGAUUAACAAGAGACUCAAGAGUCACGUUCGACCAUCUUAGUAGUGAAUAUAGUUGAAUUUACCUCGACUGACAUUUUCUUAGAAGAAGCCAAUUUGGUUUCUAAGUUUUGGGCUAAAAAGAUGGAUGGAAUCAUAAAGUGAAGAAAUUGAAUAAACCAGUUCAAACUUUCAAGAGAUCGAAAUGUCCUUCUAAGCUAGAGUGAAAGCCAAUAAGAAGACAUCCAAAACAGGUCAACCCAACAAAAAGUAAUGGUAAGGAUGUGCACCAAUAUCAUAGAAUUUUAUUACCAUCGCUGAAUGCAAAGGAUAGUCAAUUUGAUUAGAUUUUUGGGAUUCAAUCAUUCGUCUUUACUAUCUUUAUGGGAGCUACACAUUAGAGAAUGUUCUUUUGAUUGUCUUGUCUUAUUUACUUUUUUAUUUUUGGUUUAAACUCUCAAUAUAAGUGCUUAGGUUAAUUUUAAGAGUUCUUUAUUUUUUAUUUUUCUUUACAUGAAUUUGGUCUAGUCUCCCAAUGUUUUUUUUUUAUGUUAUAUUCUCUAACAUGAGUUUUAUUUAAAAACAAUACACUAAGGUUAUCCUCUAAUAUAUAUUAUUUUAAUAUUGUUUUUAUGAAAUUAUAUAAAUUUAAAUUUUAUAAUGUUAAUAUUUUAAUAUUUUUUUAAUAUCUUGUUUACGAAAUUAUAUUAUUUCAAUAAAAUAAAAAUGUGGAUAUUAGUUUUCUUAGUAUUAAUAAAGGAAGUUGUUAAGUUAACAUAUAAAUAAGUCAAUAAAAAUGAAAAAAAUUACUCUCCUAGCACCUGUACACAAAUUGUUAUCAUUAAAAGUAUCUUAUUUGGAAGUGUUAUGAAUCAAAGUGAUAGAUCAUAAUAAAAAAUUAAUAGUAAUGUGAAAUUAUUAUAGAACUGUUUUGGCAAAAGUAGUUUUAUAAAUAAUAUUAGUUAUAUUUGGACAGUUUUCUAUAAGUAUUUUUAUUAAAGAAAAAUAAAAAUUUAAAAAUUAAACCAAAUUGUUUAUAAUUUGGAAAUUAAAAAUUAAAAUGGUUAUAUUAAAGAAUGUCUAAAAAGUAGUUUAAAUAUAAAUUAGUUUUAACUUUUAAAUAAUUUAUUUAAUGUUUUUAUAUUUUUAUUCAAAUAAAUAUAUUUAUAAAGAAACUUGUUCCAUCAUACUUAUUACUUAUAACAUAUAUAAAGAGGAAUAAAACCGUGUGAUAGAAAUAAAUUAAACUAUGUUUUCCCUUUUUACUUAAAAAUAUGUAUAUAGAAAUAGAGGAACUCACCUUGCACGAUAGCUAGACUAAUCUCUGUAAAAAAAAACAAAAAAAACUUUGAGUUAAUAAAUAGUAUGACACAAUUAAAAGUAAAAUAUUCUUUUCUCAUUUUGUGUAAAGUGUCAAAAUAAAAAGUAAUGUAAAAUCUGGGGAACAAUUUGGUGUUUUACUUAUUUGUUGCAUUAUGCAUUAUUUAAUUUAGAAAACCAAUAUAAAAGAAAUUCAAAUUUAAGUUAAGAGAUUAAAACUGUAUUUAAACAUGAAAAUUAUGAUAA
RNAcentral lists this long non-coding RNA (2549 nucleotides) under Phaseolus vulgaris (common bean). RNAcentral describes it as "long non-coding RNA (PVUL_LNC005368)". Lineage: Eukaryota; Viridiplantae; Streptophyta; Magnoliopsida; Fabales; Fabaceae. The record is from RNAcentral.